RNAcentral lists this transfer RNA (30 nucleotides) under Passiflora quadrangularis (granadilla). RNAcentral describes it as "partial tRNA-His". The record is from RNAcentral. Lineage: Eukaryota; Viridiplantae; Streptophyta; Magnoliopsida; Malpighiales; Passifloraceae. RNAcentral also lists the same sequence under 8 other names.
GGCGGAUGUAGCCAAGUGGAUAAAGGCGGU